RNAcentral lists this ribosomal RNA (250 nucleotides) under uncultured prokaryote. RNAcentral's name for it is "partial 16S ribosomal RNA". It matches the Rfam family "Bacterial small subunit ribosomal RNA", at positions 524 to 773 of the family's 1533-position model. The record is from RNAcentral.
UACGUAGGGGGCAAGCGUUAUCCGGAUUUACUGGGUGUAAAGGGAGCGUAGACGGCGAGACAAGUCUGAAGUGAAAGGCGGGGGCCCAACCCCCGGACUGCUUUGGAAACUGCCUUGCUGGAGUGCAGGAGGGGUAUGCGGAAUUCCUAGUGUAGCGGUGAAAUGCGUAGAUAUUAGGAGGAACACCGGCGGCGAAGGCGGCAUACUGGACUGUAACUGACGUUGAGGCUCGAAGGCGUGGGGAGCAAAC